CCAGUAGUCAUAUGCUUGUCUCAAAGAUUAAGCCAUGCAUGUCUCAGUACAAGCCAAAUUAAGGUGAAACCGCGAAAGGCUCAUUAAAUCAGUUAUGGUUCCUUAGAUCGUACCCACAUUUACUUGGAUAACUGUGGUAAUUCUAGAGCUAAUACAUGCAAACAGAGCUCCGACCGGAGACGGAAGGAGCGCUUUUAUUAGAUCAAAACCAAUCGGUGGCGGGAGACCCCGUCACCGUACACGUUGGUGACUCUGAAUAACUUAUUGCUGAUCGCACGGUCUCGCACCGGCGACGCAUCUUUCAAAUGUCUGCCUUAUCAACUGUCGAUGGUAGGUUCUGCGCCUACCAUGGUUGUAACGGGUAACGGGGAAUCAGGGUUCGAUUCCGGAGAGGGAGCCUGAGAAACGGCUACCACAUCCAAGGAAGGCAGCAGGCGCGCAAAUUACCCACUCCCGGCACGGGGAGGUAGUGACGAAAAAUAACGAUACGGGACUCAUCCGAGGCCCCGUAAUCGGAAUGAGUACACUCUAAAUCCUUUAACGAGGAUCAAUUGGAGGGCAAGUCUGGUGCCAGCAGCCGCGGUAAUUCCAGCUCCAAUAGCGUAUAUUAAAGUUGUUGCGGUUAAAAAGCUCGUAGUCGAAUUUGUGUCCCGCGCCGCCGGUUCAUCGCUCGCGGUGUCAACUGGCGUGUCCGCGGGACGUCCUGCCGGUGGGCUUAGCCCCCCGUGGGCGGCCCAAUCUCAAUCCCACCGCGGUGCUCUUCAUUGAGUGUCGAGGUGGGCCGGCACGUUUACUUUGAACAAAUUAGAGUGCUUAAAGCAGGCUAAAACAUCGCCUGAAUACUGUGUGCAUGGAAUAAUGGAAUAGGACCUCGGUUCUAUUUUGUUGGUUUUCGGAACCCCGAGGUAAUGAUUAAUAGGAACGGAUGGGGGCAUUCGUAUUGCGACGU
RNAcentral lists this ribosomal RNA (949 nucleotides) under Cephalodesmius quadridens. RNAcentral describes it as "SSU rRNA". It matches the Rfam family "Eukaryotic small subunit ribosomal RNA", at positions 17 to 905 of the family's 1831-position model. The record is from RNAcentral. Lineage: Eukaryota; Metazoa; Arthropoda; Insecta; Coleoptera; Scarabaeidae.